This 162-nucleotide ribosomal RNA is filed under the name Boronia filifolia. Its description in RNAcentral is "5.8S ribosomal RNA". It matches the Rfam family "5.8S ribosomal RNA". Rfam says of the family: 5.8S ribosomal RNA (5.8S rRNA) is a component of the large subunit of the eukaryotic ribosome. It is transcribed by RNA polymerase I as part of the 45S precursor that also contains 18S and 28S rRNA. Lineage: Eukaryota; Viridiplantae; Streptophyta; Magnoliopsida; Sapindales; Rutaceae. The record is from RNAcentral.
UAAUGACUCUCGGCAACGGAUAUCUCGGCUCUCGCAUCGAUGAAGAACGUAGCGAAAUGCGAUACUUGGUGUGAAUUGCAGAAUCCCGUGAACCAUCGAGUUUUUGAACGCAAGUUGCGCCCCAAGCUGUUAGGCUGAGGGCACGUCUGCCUGGGUGUCACG